RNAcentral lists this ribosomal RNA (386 nucleotides) under uncultured bacterium. RNAcentral's name for it is "bacterial SSU rRNA". It matches the Rfam family "Bacterial small subunit ribosomal RNA", at positions 30 to 416 of the family's 1533-position model. The record is from RNAcentral.
AUUGAACGCUGGCGGAAUGCUUUACACAUGCAAGUCGAACGGCAGCACGGGGCAACCUGGUGGCGAGUGGCGAACCGGUGAGUAAUACAUCGGAACGUGCCCAAUCGUGGGGGAUAACGUAGCGAAAGUUACGCUAAUACCGCAUACGAUCUACGGAUGAAAGCGGGGGAUCGCAAGACCUCGCGCGAAUGGAGCGGCCGAUGUCAGAUUAGGUAGUUGGUGGGGUAAAGGCUCACCAAGCCAACGAUCUGUAGCUGGUCUGAGAGGACGACCAGCCACACUGGAACUGAGACACGGUCCAGACUCCUACGGGAGGCAGCAGUGGGGAAUUUUGGGACAAUGGGCGCAAGCCUGAUCCAGCCGAUUCCGCGUGCAGGAUGAAGGCC